RNAcentral lists this ribosomal RNA (433 nucleotides) under uncultured bacterium. RNAcentral describes it as "partial 16S ribosomal RNA". It matches the Rfam family "Bacterial small subunit ribosomal RNA", at positions 29 to 507 of the family's 1533-position model. The record is from RNAcentral.
AACGAACGCUGGCGGCAGGCCUAACACAUGCAAGUCGAGCGGACCUUUCGGGGUCAGCGGCGGACGGGUGAGUAACGCGUGGGAAUAUGCCCUUCUCUACGGAGUAGUCCUGGGAAACUGGGGGUAAUACCGUAUACGCCCUUUGGGGGAAAGAUUUAUCGGGGAAGGAUUAGCCCGCGUUGGAUUAGGUAGUUGGUGGGGUAAUGGCCUACCAAGCCGACGAUCCAUAGCUGGUUUGAGAGGAUGAUCAGCCACACUGGGACUGAGACACGGCCCAGACUCCUACGGGAGGCAGCAGUGGGGAAUCUUAGACAAUGGGGGCAACCCUGAUCUAGCCAUGCCGCGUGAGUGAUGAAGGCCUUAGGGUUGUAAAGCUCUUUCAGCUGGGAAGAUAAUGACGGUACCAGCAGAAGAAGCCCCGGCUAACUCCGUG